UACGAAGGGGGCAAGCGUUGUUCGGAAUUACUGGGCGUAAAGAGCGUGUAGGCGGCCAGGUAGGUCGGUUGUGAAAACUGGAGGCUCAACCUUCAGACGUCGACCGAAACCAUCUGGCUAGAGUCCGGGAGAGGAGAGUGGAAUUCCUGGUGUAGCGGUGAAAUGCGCAGAUAUCAGGAAGAACACCCGUGGCGAAAGCGGCUCUCUGGAACGGUACUGACGCUGAGACGCGAAAGCGUGGGGAGCGAACAGG
This 253-nucleotide ribosomal RNA is filed under the name uncultured bacterium. Its description in RNAcentral is "partial 16S ribosomal RNA". It matches the Rfam family "Bacterial small subunit ribosomal RNA", at positions 524 to 776 of the family's 1533-position model. The record is from RNAcentral.